RNAcentral lists this ribosomal RNA (557 nucleotides) under uncultured bacterium. Its description in RNAcentral is "bacterial SSU rRNA". It matches the Rfam family "Bacterial small subunit ribosomal RNA", at positions 102 to 694 of the family's 1533-position model. RNAcentral also lists the same sequence under 1 other name. The record is from RNAcentral.
ACGGGUGCGUAACGCGUGGGAAUCUGCCCUUGGGUUCGGAAUAACAGUUAGAAAUGACUGCUAAUACCGGAUGAUGUCUUCGGACCAAAGAUUUAUCGCCCAAGGAUGAGCCCGCGUAAGAUUAGCUAGUUGGUGGGGUAAUGGCCCACCAAGGCGACGAUCUUUAGCUGGUCUGAGAGGAUGAUCAGCCACACUGGGACUGAGACACGGCCCAGACUCCUACGGGAGGCAGCAGUGGGGAAUAUUGGACAAUGGGCGAAAGCCUGAUCCAGCAAUGCCGCGUGAGUGAUGAAGGCCUUAGGGUUGUAAAGCUCUUUUACCAGGGAUGAUAAUGACAGUACCUGGAGAAUAAGCUCCGGCUAACUCCGUGCCAGCAGCCGCGGUAAUACGGAGGGAGCUAGCGUUGUUCGGAAUUACUGGGCGUAAAGCGUACGUAGGCGGUUACUCAAGUCAGAGGUGAAAGCCCGGGGCUCAACCCCGGAACUGCCUUUGAAACUAGGUAGCUAGAGUCUUGGAGAGGUUAGUGGAAUUCCGAGUGUAGAGGUGAAAUUCGUAGA